RNAcentral lists this non-coding RNA (63 nucleotides) under Actinoplanes sp. SE50/110. Lineage: Bacteria; Bacillati; Actinomycetota; Actinomycetes; Micromonosporales; Micromonosporaceae. The record is from RNAcentral.
GCCGGGAAGUUGUAGAGCCAGAACGACUGCUGGUCGAUCUGCUGGAACGUCAUGUUGAAAUUG